UUCCCGGGCCUUGUACACACCGCCCGUCACACCACGAAAGUUGGCAAUACCCGAAGCCGGUGGCCUAACCGCAAGGAGGGAGCCGUCUAAGGUAGGGUCGAUGAUUGGGGUG
Molecule: ribosomal RNA, 112 nt
Filed under: uncultured bacterium
Lineage: Bacteria
Description: partial 16S ribosomal RNA
Rfam family: Bacterial small subunit ribosomal RNA
Source: RNAcentral